This 753-nucleotide ribosomal RNA is filed under the name uncultured Pseudomonas sp. RNAcentral's name for it is "bacterial SSU rRNA". It matches the Rfam family "Bacterial small subunit ribosomal RNA", at positions 28 to 776 of the family's 1533-position model. The record is from RNAcentral. Lineage: Bacteria; Pseudomonadati; Pseudomonadota; Gammaproteobacteria; Pseudomonadales; Pseudomonadaceae.
AUUGAACGCUGGCGGCAGGCCUAACACAUGCAAGUCGGGCGGUAGAGAGAAGCUUGCUUCUCUUGAGAGCGGCGGACGGGUGAGUAAUGCCUAGGAAUCUGCCUGGUAGUGGGGGAUAACGUUCGGAAACGGACGCUAAUACCGCAUACGUCCUACGGGAGAAAGCAGGGGACCUUCGGGCCUUGCGCUAUCAGAUGAGCCUAGGUCGGAUUAGCUAGUUGGUGAGGUAAUGGCUCACCAAGGCGACGAUCCGUAACUGGUCUGAGAGGAUGAUCAGUCACACUGGAACUGAGACACGGUCCAGACUCCUACGGGAGGCAGCAGUGGGGAAUAUUGGACAAUGGGCGAAAGCCUGAUCCAGCCAUGCUGCGUGUGUGAAGAAGGUCUUCGGAUUGUAAAGCACUUUAAGUUGGGAGGAAGGGUUGUAGAUUAAUACUCUGCAAUUUUGACGUUACCGACAGAAUAAGCACCGGCUAACUCUGUGCCAGCAGCCGCGGUAAUACAGAGGGUGCAAGCGUUAAUCGGAAUUACUGGGCGUAAAGCGCGCGUAGGUGGUUUGUUAAGUUGGAUGUGAAAUCCCCGGGCUCAACCUGGGAACUGCGUUCAAAACUGACUGACUAGAGUAUGGUAGAGGGUGGUGGAAUUUCCCGUGUAGCGGUGAAAUGCGUAGAUAUAGGAAGGAACACCAGUGGCGAAGGCGACCACCUGGACUAAUACUGACACUGAGGUGCGAAAGCGUGGGGAGCAAACAGG